AUAGGUGAUCAGCCUGGGAGUCCAAAGGUGUUCCCUACUAGGUGACAAGCCCCCUCAGAACAAAGUACACUUGGCCACAGUUACUCUAUUUCCUGUGUCAUAUGAGCUAUGAUCAUGACCAAAAGUAAGUGCCAAAGACCAUGGACCAAUUAAAGCACCUAAGCAUCGCCUAAGAAAAUGCUUAGAUUCUUUAACCAUGCUAGUUACCCACGUCUGGGCCAUCCGACAAGGCCAGUGCACUCUACCCCCGACAACGUAUGAACAUGGCCAAAAGCUAGUGGCAAAGACCCUAGAAGGUCAGUGCACAGUGCCCCCCACGAACAUACACAACAUACACAUGCCAAUGCAUAUCCAACAUCAAUCAACACUCCAUAUCCAUAUUGUCAAACCCUAAUUUCGU
This 400-nucleotide unclassified non-coding RNA is filed under the name uncultured bacterium. RNAcentral's name for it is "contains 16S-23S intergenic spacer region". The record is from RNAcentral.